UAGAGUUUGAUCCUGGCUCAGAACGAACGCUGGCGGCGUGCUUAACACAUGCAAGUCGAGUGCGCGGUUGUAGCAAUACAACUGGCGCACGGCGCACGGGUGCGUAACACGUGGGCAAUCUGCCCUUCGAUGGGGAAUAACUCCGGGAAACCGAAGCUAAUUCCGCAUAACAUUCCUUGGACUUCGGUUCGAGGACUCAAAGCCGUAAGGCGUCGAAGGAGGAGCCCGCGCCCGAUUAGCUAGUUGGUGAGGUAACGGCUCACCAAGGCAAUGAUCGGUAGCUGGUCUGAGAGGAUGGCCAGCCACACUGGAACUGAGACACGGUCCAGACUCCUACGGGAGGCAGCAGUGGGGAAUCUUGCGCAAUGGGCGAAAGCCUGACGCACCGACGCCGCGUGGGGGAUGAAGCAUUUCGGUGUGUAAACCCCUUUCGACUGGGACGAAUACCUCGCAAGAGGGGUGACGGUACCAGUAGAAGAAGCCCCGGCUAACUACGUGCCAGCAGCCGCGGUAAGACGUAUGGGGCCAGCGUUGUUCGGAAUUACUGGGUGUAAAGGGUCCGUAGGCGGUGUGGCAAGUCGGGAGUGAAAUCUAUGGGCUUAACCCAUAGGCUGCUUCCGAAACUGCCGUGCUUGAGUGUGGGAGAGGCGCGUGGAAUUGCAGGUGUAGCGGUGAAAUGCGUAGAUAUCUGCAGGAACACCCGUGGCGAAAGCGGCGGCGCUGGACUACUACUGACGCUGAGGAACGAAAGCUAGGGGGAGCAAACUGGAUUAGAUACCCUGGUAGUCCUAGCCCUAG
Molecule: ribosomal RNA, 798 nt
Filed under: uncultured soil bacterium
Lineage: Bacteria
Description: SSU rRNA
Rfam family: Bacterial small subunit ribosomal RNA
Source: RNAcentral